GAUAAACGCUGGCGGCGUGCCUAACACAUGCAAGUCGAACGUCCUUUUCUUCGGAAAAGGGAGUGGCGGACGGGUGAGUAACACGUGGGGCAUCCACCCUGGGGUGAGGAAUACCGGCGAGAAAUCGCCGACAAGACCGCAUACGCUCUUUUCGGAGAGCAAAGCUCGCGAGAGCGCCACAGGACGACCCUGCGCCCGAUUAGCUGGUUGGUGGGGUGAAAGCCUACCAAGGCGACGAUCGGUAGCUGGUCUGAGAGGACGAUCAGCCACACUGGGA
Molecule: ribosomal RNA, 277 nt
Filed under: uncultured bacterium
Lineage: Bacteria
Description: partial 16S ribosomal RNA
Rfam family: Bacterial small subunit ribosomal RNA
Source: RNAcentral